AUGUUGUUUGAAAGGAAGGAGGUUAGCACACCCCUUGAUGGAAGGAUGGAAGAGGUCCUAGUGGCCUUACAACACACAAAUGGUUAAGGCAUUGCCAUCUACUUCGUAGCAUCUAAUCAGGUUUU
Small nuclear RNA from Chiloscyllium plagiosum (whitespotted bambooshark), 125 nucleotides. Lineage: Eukaryota; Metazoa; Chordata; Chondrichthyes; Orectolobiformes; Hemiscylliidae. The record is from RefSeq and is a predicted model, not a curated record.